ACGGAUUAGAACAGAGAUCUAACCCUUAUCCCGCAAUAAAACAGUGAAACUAACAAAACCAGGAUAAAACUCACAAAUUUGAUGCUAAAAACUUACAAAUCCACGGGGAAAACGUGUAGAACGAAUGAAAGAGAGUCUCUGGAGCUCACAGAACCAAAAAUUUUGGAAAACGAUUGAGUUUUGAGAAAGAUCGAAGCGUUAUACCCGGUUAUAUCCCGCUCGGCCGCAGACCUUGUACCGGUACACGGGUUCUUGUUCCGGUACAAGGACCAAAAUGUGAAAAAAAAAUUUUGAAAAAUAUACUUUAAAAAUCCAUCACAUUUAAAUUAAAUUCACAUAGUUAAGGCUUUUACUCCAAAAAUUAUUAAAAUGAAAAUAAAAUAUUAUAAAAUUUCAAAACACAUCAAAACAUCAAAAUUUCAAAAUCAAAAAUAAUUUAACGAUUCAAAACCACCAAGAUGUAAGUUGAUGAAAAAUGAUUUUUAGAAAUUCAACAAAAAUUGACACUAAUUUGUCAUAACACGUUCAAAAUAGAGAUUUAACCAAUAUGAUACCAGGGGUGGCUCUUUGAGCAUCUUUUUCAAACUAACACCUUAUUCCUCCGAAAAUUCUGAAAUGUUUAUAUUUUUCCAACCUUUUUCGGCUUUUUCAAUUAAAUACCAUGUGGUAGCUUCACACACUUGCCGGACGACCGGAGUGGUAGCUCUUUCCUAAUGUGGUGGUAGUUUUCACACUCCUUUUAGGAUGUAACUCUUUCCACAUCUUUUACACAUAGGAGUUUCUUUUUCUCUUUUUCUCCUUUAUUUUUAAAUUUAAAAACUCCCCCUUAAUUAGGCAAUCUCACAAUUGAAAAUAAUUUUGACGAAUUUUAGUCAAUUAGAGAAUACCCAUUCAUCAUAUCCAACACUCACAACCAAGAUGAAUUAAUCAUCAAAAAAUCAAAUUUGAUUUCAAAAUUUUGAUGAAUUUAUGCAAUAAGAAAUCAUAUAAUAUAUUAUUGUCAACAUAAUACAUAGUGGAGUAAAGACGAUAAUUAAUAUGAAUUUACCUUAAUAUGAUUUUGAAGAUAAAACCCGUUUAAACAAUCCUCUUUUUUUUUCUUUUUUUUUUUUUUAACUUUCUCUCCAAAAACGAUUCUCAAUCAUCUCCUUUCCUCAAAAUAAUUUUUAACCAAACAAAAUUCAAAACACCAAGAAUCAUUUAAACAUGUAAUGCAAUGAAUAAAAUUAUGCAACAAGCACCUAUCAAAGCAUUACACUAAAGAUCGAAAAAUGACUAAGACGAGGAGCAAGGAAAGAUAUCACCUUU
This 1308-nucleotide long non-coding RNA is filed under the name Ananas comosus (pineapple). RNAcentral describes it as "long non-coding RNA (ACOM_LNC043392)". Lineage: Eukaryota; Viridiplantae; Streptophyta; Magnoliopsida; Poales; Bromeliaceae. The record is from RNAcentral.